Molecule: ribosomal RNA, 426 nt
Filed under: Megaselia hirtiventris
Lineage: Eukaryota; Metazoa; Arthropoda; Insecta; Diptera; Phoridae
Description: partial 16S ribosomal RNA
Source: RNAcentral
UUUUAGAAAUUAAUUUAAAGUCUAACCUGCCCACUGAAUAAUUUUAAAUGGCCGCAGUAUCCUAACUGUGCAAAGGUAGCAUAAUCAUUAGUCUUUUAAUUGAAGGCUGGAAUGAAUGGUUGGAUGAAAUAUUAACUGUUUCAUAUAAAUUUAUAAUAGAAUUUUAUUUUUUAGUCAAAAAGCUAAAAUUUUAUUAAAAGACGAGAAGACCCUAUAAAUCUUUAUACUUUUUUAAUUUUAAUUAUUUAGAUAAAUUAAAUUAUAAUUAUCAAAAGUAUUUUAUUGGGGUGAUAUUAAAAUUUAAUAAACUUUUAAUUUAUAUUAUACAUAAAUUAAUGAAUUAUUGAUCCAUUUAUUAUGAUUAAAAAAUUAAGUUACUUUAGGGAUAACAGCGUAAUUUUUUUAGAGAGUUCAUAUUGAUAAAAA